UCCUCAAGCCCACACGUAACCUUGCGACCUCUCUCUCUCCCCUGUGCUCUUCGCCGCCGCCGCCGCUGCCGCCGCCCUGCCUCACCCCAUCUCCUUCCCUUGGCCGGCGCUCCACCCAUCCGCUCUCCCCACCGCCCCCUCUCAUCUCUCACAUCGCCUCCUCCUCCUCUCGCUCCUCGCCUUCCACGCCGUCCCCGCCACUAUCGCCGCUCCUCCUAUUCUUCCUUGUGCCCCCUUCCAUCCCCUCCUGUGGCGGACGAUCCUCUCGACGAUGGAUGUGGGAGAGGGAGAAUCCGGGAAGGUGGGCGGGUCCGGGUCAACAUAGGGUCGAUUUCGAGGCCUCUCAUGGCCGCGCCCACACCACCUGUGCUCCUCCCCUCCUGCGGCGCAGCUGCUGCUUCUGGAGCUCUGUUCGGAAAGGAAUACGUCUAGCCGCCGGCCAAUGGAAGGCCCUCAUCGGCCUCGCGCCUCCGCCGGCCUCCAAUCCCACGCAUCCAGCCCCUGAUUCGUGCACGCGGCAAAACGGCCGCUGCUGCCGGAGCGCCAUUCGUCAGCGAGGAGGCCCAGAGUGACACCGCCGCCGGCGCCGGUGCUCCCCAACGUAGCCACUCCGACGACGGCCAGGAUUGUUACUAUCUGUCUCAAGUUCCUUGAAGUCACGUACAUGCUCAUGCCCGCGUCUGAUUUGUUCUCGUGGUCGUGUUCCUGCCGUAGCUGCGUCCACGGUUGUGCAGAUGGCUUCUAUCACCCUUGCUGAUCUAUGUUGUGGAAGACAAAAUCAAAUGCUAUGUGUCCGGGUGUCUCGGCUUACGCACUUCCGCAGCGGUUUAGAGAGCGGUCCUAUCAAGCUCAUACACAUGGUCAUCAUCGACGUGCAGGUACUGUUUAGCACAUAACACGGCAGCAGACCAAUUGUGCAUAUGUUAUUCCUUUCAUGAUGUGUCCUUUUGUCCUAGGGUAACUGCAGUUAUGCAGUUGUACCAACAUCAUUUGCCGGUGCUUAUUUACAUGUCUUACAAGAGCGGAUUAUCUAUAAGCUUGGCUACUUGAUGGUCUGGCCACUGCUAAACAUACUGAAUCCUGCUGCAGCUCCACGCAUGAGUUUAUCUUAGGUACCACUGAAAUUUAACUAAUAAUACGUAGCAUCUUGCCACCUAACAGAUUCAUAUGUGGUCACUAAAUUCAAUGUCUAUAAACUUUUCUGUACACAUAUACAGUUAGCAUAUUGAUUGCAUUCUCUACUCUCAUAUGGUGUUGUAUCUUCAACUACUUGCAGAUAUAUAUUUUCUAACUUGGUUUAGUUUUAUUAAUGUCUCGCCAAGCAUGAUGGAUGCUUGCUGAAAGGGGCAUUGUCUGUACUUUUCAUAGUGCAAAACGACAUGUUAUGGCAAGAUUGAUCGUUUGGUAGAAUGAUUACUCCUGCAUUAUAGCGCUACCUAUGAAAAUUGAAAGGAAGAGUUGUGGUGGUAUCACGUGGAUGAUUUUCGGAUUAUUAGUUUGCCUCUCAAUGAUUUGUUCAAUAUUGGAGGGUCAUUUGCUGAGACUUGGUUUGUGCCAUGACGUUCUUUUGAAUUGCUAGUACACUUUUCUUUGUGAUAUUUCUUUACAUUUGCCUAUGAAAAAAGGCGCUACGUAAAUUCCAGUUUUACCUGAGAUAAACUAAUGGUGUUGUAUCUCGUAUGUCCUGUUGAAUAGAAGGAAUCAAGGAAAUGAUGGCGUUAGUCUUGAUCUGGGGAAGUGUUCAGUUCACGUAUAGGAUAUAUGCCAUUGAUACCAGUACAACACAGUUUUUGUUUGUUGCAAGGUAGCCUCUCUUUUUUAUUUGCUGGUUCCUCAGACCACUACCUUUUCUUCUUUAGAACUUACUCCAAGUGACAAGUACUGAUAAGCAUAUCCCUCAGAUCACUACAUUUCCUUUAGAACACACACAACAUAUCCAGACACACUCGGGUAUCACCCUCUCAUACACAUGGGUAAUACUCAAGAUGGCAAUGGGGACGAAACCCAUCGGGGUUUGCCUUCCCAAACCCAUCCCCACGAGAAAAUCAUAAACCCGUCCCCAUCCCCAUCACCAUGCGCGGGGCUAGUUUUCCGCCCGUCCCCUAAACCCAUCGGGUUUCGGGGAACCCACGGGGGACCCACAAGAAAAUCAAAAUAUUUAAACAAACAUAGUGGCGACAAAGAAUAACAUUUCAGCAGCAAAACAAGCACAUUUCAGCAGCAUAACUUGAGCAAAUUUCAACAAAAAACAAUAUUAGAUGGUUCAACAGCUAUAUAGAAUGUAUUUCAGCAGCAUGACACCACAUUUCAGCAACAAAAAUGAUCAGAUUUCAGCAAGAAAGAUGAUAAGCCAUACAUGGUUCAACAAGAUGUGCAAUUACAUAAGUUUUAAAAUAGAAUUCUUGGUUUGGCCUUCAACGUUGGGGGGUGGGGGCUCGGUCGCUCAGGCUCGAUAGCUUUGGUUUGGGCCGCACCGGAUCAGUGCUUGGUAAAAAAUGUAUUUUCCUGGGUUUGCCGGGUUUCGGGUUCGGGGACUGCUGAAACGGGUGCAAACCCACGAAACAUGUCGGGUUGUAUAAUGUGCCCAACAACAGCCCCACGGGGAUGAAAAUAUGCCCAUCCCCGUCCCCUAAUAGGGUAAAAACCCGCGGGGACGCGGGUUUCGGGGCCCCAUUGCCAUCUUGAGGUAAUACCCUCUAUCUCUAACAGUAUGCAGACAUAUUUUCUCUUUGCCUGUUCAAUUUCUUUCUCGUUGCUCUUCAGUUGAUCAAUUCGAACAUGGUACCCCAUGCCCACGAUAUACUCAUCGUCACUGUUCCGAUUCGCCCGACCCCAACGACUCAGCUACUUCCUAUCACCACCUGGUACUCCUCUUUGCUUGAUGCUCCUGCGCUGCUUAUUGUGCUCGCCGUUGCUGAUGUAUUUAGUUUCAUGCAUUAUGGUUCAGUGGGUGUCUAGAAGACUUGGUAGAUUUUAGUAAAAUGACCUAUAUAUUGGUUUCAGAACAUAGCGAGACUAUGUCCUGAUAUAUUUGGCUACUUUUAUCUUUUUGCAUCAGUUCUGAGUCAGGGUGGACACGGUCCGGGCCGGUCCGGUCCCUGACCGAGCCGCCGUUUGGACCGGCCGGCGGCGGACUGAACCGGACCGGACCGAGCAGCGCGGCGGUCUCCUUUUCCUGCACCGGACCGGCGGAGGUAAAGCUCGGGCCGGACCGAGAGGACCGCCCAUGGCGGCGGCGGCGGCGACGUGGUGACCACGGCAGCGGCGACAGACGACUCCGGCGAGCUCCUGGACAUGAUGAAGACAACUGCCUGGUCGAGAUCGGCGACGACGAGACGCGGUGGCGCCGGCCAGGGCGCAUCUGUUAGCCGCUCAUGUUUGUUGCUGCAGCUUUUCCGUUACAUGCAAGUAUUUUAGCGCGUCCAUGAGCCCACGAUUUCGUGUGUGGUGGCAUUGCUGUGAUUAGUGGAUCAAUUUUGACGUGGAGAUAGUCGUGGGAUGACGCCUUAAUUAACGGAUCGAACCUCGCUUCUUUUGCGGUUUCUGUUAUCUGUUAGACGGAAUAAAAGGAAAG
Long non-coding RNA from Triticum aestivum (bread wheat), 3574 nucleotides. RefSeq lists it as uncharacterized. The transcript has 3 exons. The record is from RefSeq and is a predicted model, not a curated record. NCBI's taxonomy places the organism in Eukaryota, Viridiplantae, Streptophyta, Magnoliopsida, Poales, Poaceae.